RNAcentral lists this ribosomal RNA (465 nucleotides) under uncultured bacterium. RNAcentral describes it as "partial 16S ribosomal RNA". It matches the Rfam family "Bacterial small subunit ribosomal RNA", at positions 338 to 795 of the family's 1533-position model. The record is from RNAcentral.
CCUACGGGGGGCAGCAGUAGGGAAUCUUCCACAAUGGGCGAAAGCCUGAUGGAGCAACGCCGCGUGGGUGAAGAAGGUCUUCGGAUCGUAAAACCCUGUUGUUAGAGAAGAAAGUGCGUGAGAGUAACUGUUCACGUUUCGACGGUAUCUAACCAGACAGCCCCGGCUAACUACGUGCCAGCAGCCGCGGUAAUACGUAGGUGGCAAGCGUUAUCCGGAUUUUUUGGGCGUAAAGGGAACGCAGUCGGUCUUUUAAGUCUGAUGUGAAAGCCUUCGGCUUAACCGGAGUAGUGCAUUGGAAACUGGGAGACUUGAGUGCAGAAGAGGAGAGUGGAACUCCAUGUGUAGCGGUGAAAUGCGUAGAUAUAUGGAAGAACACCAGUGGCGAAAGCGGCUCUCUGGUCUGUAACUGACGCUGAGGUUCGAAAGCGUGGGUAGCAAACAGGAUUAGAUACCCCAGUAGUC